Molecule: ribosomal RNA, 253 nt
Filed under: uncultured bacterium
Lineage: Bacteria
Also listed under: 1 other name
Description: partial 16S ribosomal RNA
Rfam family: Bacterial small subunit ribosomal RNA
Source: RNAcentral
UACGGAGGGUGCAAGCGUUGUCCGGAUUUAUUGGGUUUAAAGGGUGCGUAGGCGGCUUAUUAAGUCAGGGGUGAAAGACUAUUGCUUAACAAUGGCAGUGCCUUUGAUACUGAUAGGCUUGAGUACAGUUGAGGCAGAUGGAACGGGUGGUGUAGCGGUGAAAUGCAUAGAUACCAUCCAGAACACCGAUUGCGAAGGCAGUCUGCUAAACUGUAACUGACGCUGAGGCACGAAAGCGUGGGGAUCGAACAGG